UCGCUAGUAAUCGCGCAUCAGCCAUGGCGCGGUGAAUACGUUCCCGGGCCUUGUACACACCGCCCGUCAAGCCAUGGGAGCCGGGGGCGCCUGAAGUCCGGGACCGCGAGGACCGGCCUAGGGCGAAACUGGUAACUGGGGCUAAGUCGUAACAAGGUACC
Molecule: ribosomal RNA, 161 nt
Filed under: uncultured bacterium
Lineage: Bacteria
Description: partial 16S ribosomal RNA
Rfam family: Bacterial small subunit ribosomal RNA
Source: RNAcentral